Molecule: ribosomal RNA, 497 nt
Filed under: uncultured bacterium
Lineage: Bacteria
Description: bacterial SSU rRNA
Rfam family: Bacterial small subunit ribosomal RNA
Source: RNAcentral
GACGAACGCUGGCGGCGUGCCUAACACAUGCAAGUCGAGCGGAGACAUUCGAGUAGCAAUAUGAGAAUGUUUUAGCGGCGGACGGGUGAGUAACGCGUGAGUAACCUGUCCUCAACAGGGGGAUAACGAGCCGAAAGGCUCACUAAUACCGCAUAAGACCACGGAGUCACAUGGCUUUGAGGUCAAAGGAGCAAUCCGGUUGAGGGUGGACUCGCGUCUGAUUAGCUAGUUGGUGGGGUAACGGCCUACCAAGGCGACGAUCAGUAGCCGACCUGAGAGGGUGAUCGGCCACAUUGGAACUGAGAAACGGUCCAAACUCCUACGGGAGGCAGCAGUGGGGAAUAUUGGGCAAUGGAGGAAACUCUGACCCAGCAACGCCGCGUGAAGGAAGAAGGUUUUCGGAUCGUAAACUUCUAUCCUUGGUGAAAAUAAUGAUGGUAGCCAAGAAGGAAGCCCCGGCUAACUACGUGCCAGCAGCCGCGGCAAAAGUCACGUCG